CACGACUACAUUAGAUACCCCGGUAGUCCCAGCCGUAAACUAUGCGCGUUAGGUGUACUGGUGACCACGAGUCACCGGAGUGCCGAAGGGAAACCGUGAAACGUGCCGCCUGGGAAGUACGGUCGCAAGGCUGAAACUUAAAGGAAUUGGCGGGGAGCACCACAACGGGUGGAGCCUGCGGUUUAAUUGGACUCAACGCCGGAAAUCUCACCGGAUAGGACAGACAUAUGAUAGUCGGGCUGAAGACUCUACUUGAUGAUCUG
RNAcentral lists this ribosomal RNA (263 nucleotides) under uncultured archaeon. RNAcentral describes it as "partial 16S ribosomal RNA". It matches the Rfam family "Archaeal small subunit ribosomal RNA", at positions 718 to 982 of the family's 1478-position model. The record is from RNAcentral.